UCCCUCCACGGCACGGUGGAGGAGUUCUGAAGUCCUAAAGUUGGGGCAGGACCUGGAGCGUGGUCGGAGAAGGGACGUGAGACCCGCCGGGAAGCAGCAGCAGGAGAAUGUCAAUUCAAGGAAGCUGCGCUUGACCAAGGACUAGAUGAGAUACCUUGUUAUAUGUUUCCAGAGCAUGACCAGUGAAUAAAUGAAUCCACCUGAGGCAGUGGCUGCCUCUCUAGAUUAUGAAUCAACACAGUCCCUAAGGGCUCAACAGGUCGUGGAAUUCAGGGAAGAAUCAGAAAAGUUCUAGAAGAGGACUGAAGGAGGACUACAGACCCGAUGAUGCACAUGGAAAUGGGCGUAAAUCUGCACCACUUGCUCUGGGACAUGCGCAUGUGUAAACGCACAAUAAUCUCUUAAGAAUUAAAGAAAUCUUGGAACAAAGAAAAGGACUGAAGAAAAACCUUAAGGAAAAGGGAAGGAAUGUGUGUGUAGUCUCUCUACUUAAGGAAAAGUUAGAGGGUGGGAAGAAGAUCUUCCUUCAACAAUUUAGAUCAACAUUUGUUAGGUAUACGUGGUUUGCCAGGAAACCACAUGUGUGUUGUGGACCGUAUGUGUUGAGGAUGCAAAAAGACUUAGUCCCAGCUAUUAAGGAGUUCACAGUUUGGCAGCAAAUUAUUACAGAAUGUGGUGGCUGUUCUAACAGACAUAUAAAGAAAGUGCUAUGGAAGCACAGAGGAAGAAGAGGUUAAUAGUGUCUAAGAACCUAGAAGGGAUGAAGAUGAAAAUUGAGAUUUGAAAGGUGAGAAAGUCAUUAAGACAAGGAUGACUUAAAGGUAUUCCAAACUCCUAAGAGAUACAGGGAGUUUUGGUGGAUGCAGAAUGAUUGAGGAAGGCUGUGAAAGUCUUCUCUUACAAAAAUCUCUUUCUGUAAUGGUUGCUUGUUUAUGGGACGAGAAACGGGGGGGUUAUUUGCUUGCUUAAAGCCUCUGGCUUUUCCUGAUGCAACUUCCAGGCCAGUCUACCUUCUCUUCUCAAAUCCCCCAGCUUUUGCUUCAAGUUUACUUCCAGCCUGGCAAGGAGUGAGUCUUCUGAGCACAACCGCUCCGUGUCUAAGCAGGGCUGAAACACCCUCCUUCCCCAUCUCUCCCACACAUACUCCUUCCAUACCCACCAAGAAGAAAGGCAGCCAGGAAGAGUGGACAGGUCCAGAACCACAGAGGGUGAUGAACAGACAUAGAAGUAUCAAUCCUGAGGCUAAAUAGUAAUUGGGCAAAGUUUUGGUGAGACACUCCCAUUGUCUCUGAUAAGGAAUGUUUUCUCUUGAAAGGCUUAAAAUUGGUGGAAAGCGGUGGCUCACGCCUAUAAUCCCAGCACUUUGGGAGGCUGAGGCAGGUGGAUGGACUGAGCUCAAGAGUUCAAGAUCAGCGUAGUCAACAUGGUGAAACCCUGUUUCUACAAAAAAAUUAAAACAAUUAGCCAGGUGUGGUGGCAUGUGCCUGUAGUCCCAGCUACUUGGGAGGCUGAGGAAGGAGGAUAUUGUGAGCCCUGGAGGUGGAGGUGAUUGCAGUGAGCCGAGAUUGUGUCACUGAAUCCAGCCUGGGCAACAGAGCCAGACCCUGUCUCAAAAAAAAAAAAA
This is a long non-coding RNA of Chlorocebus sabaeus (green monkey), 1624 nucleotides long. RefSeq lists it as uncharacterized. NCBI's taxonomy places the organism in Eukaryota, Metazoa, Chordata, Mammalia, Primates, Cercopithecidae. The record is from RefSeq and is a predicted model, not a curated record.